GCCUGCAGCAUUCUACUUUCUGGAUUGCUUAAGUGAUUGUGUUAAGGUUUUUAUUUCCUGUUAUUUCACUUUUCAAUAGUAUAGAUGGCUCCAGUGCGUUCUUUAAUGCGUUCAUGUCCACUUUGCUGUAAGGUUGUGGUUGGCUUCAGUCCGCACCUUAGGUAAGUACACAAUGUUAGGAACAAUGAGGAGAGGAUGCUCCUUUGUAAUUGGCAGUCGGGCCGUGUCAAUAUCAGGCAGGAGCGGUGUCCAGUGACAGGAUGCUCCACCCAUGUCAGCAGGCUGGACCGGCAUAUGGACUCCCAUACAGAGCUCAACAGAGCACAGAGGAGACGGGCUUUAGAGGAGGUGAAGAGACGGCUGACGAUGGAGAGGCUGGCUGUGGGGGUGGCAAAGAAGUCCCUCAGCUUUCAGGCCGAGGCAGACACAGCGCAAGAGGAGCUGCAGCAGGACCAAGUGACAGGUUCAGGGGACCAGACAGAGCAGGCUACAGCGUCCGGAUCUAGCUGCAAACGUAUCUUCCCGGGCUCUGGUAUUAGUAAGUACUGUUUCUUUAAAUAGUGGCAAGUGUUUGUGUUUGAAAAGUUUUUUUUUUAAACAGCCUGACUGAUUCAUGUUGCCUCAUGAGACUGUAAUUGUCUAAAAUGUUAUGUUUUUUUGAUAUAUUUGUUUAUUGAGGGAUUCAGGAAGACCUGUGAGGGCCCCAAACCAAAUUAUAAGCUAAAAGGAAAAUUGUGCCACGCAAUUUUUGAAUUACAUGGCAAAGGAUGAGACCUACGAGUCCGCUCUAAUUUUCCUGACUAACCAUGACAAAAUAAGGGGAUGGGUUCAAUCCCUUCAAAAGAACAAGGCAAUCACCACAGUCAAGCACUACACCUUGACUAUCGGUGCCUUUCUUAAAUAUGCCGAGGAGACCCCUCCACCUGGCUGCCGGCUGACCAAAAACCAAUGGAAGGGGAUCAACCGGUUGAUGAAGGGGAUUAACAAGUCCUUGAAACGACCAGUUUCCCUUCACCAGGUAAAGGUGAAAGACAACAAGGAAGUCAAGGUGGUUUUCAGAAAGAGCCUGCUGGAGUGCCAAUCUCCAAGAUCCCAGAAGUGCUGACAGGUUAACUUCACUUCCGUUCGCCCGUAA
Coregonus clupeaformis (lake whitefish) is the source of this 1135-nucleotide long non-coding RNA. RefSeq lists it as uncharacterized. The record is from RefSeq and is a predicted model, not a curated record. NCBI's taxonomy places the organism in Eukaryota, Metazoa, Chordata, Actinopteri, Salmoniformes, Salmonidae. The transcript is spliced from 3 exons.